GGAAUGGUGGCUGAGGUAGUAAGCGGAUCGUUGUAAGUGAUUUUAGGAGUAUGUUUAAUCCCAUUCCA
Molecule: transfer RNA, 68 nt
Filed under: Haematopinus suis
Lineage: Eukaryota; Metazoa; Arthropoda; Insecta; Psocodea; Haematopinidae
Description: tRNA-Tyr
Source: RNAcentral